GUGGGGAACCCUGGAAGAACUGGCCUGCCCGGUUUCACGGGUUUUCAAGGUGACCGAGGGCGUGAUGGACCUCCCGGAUCAACAGGUCCUCUGGGAAAGCCAGGAAUCAAUGGAGACCCAGGUUCCCC
Molecule: long non-coding RNA, 128 nt
Organism: Elgaria multicarinata webbii
Lineage: Eukaryota; Metazoa; Chordata; Lepidosauria; Squamata; Anguidae
Exons: 3
Source: RefSeq, a predicted model, not a curated record